Molecule: long non-coding RNA, 845 nt
Filed under: Salmo salar (Atlantic salmon)
Lineage: Eukaryota; Metazoa; Chordata; Actinopteri; Salmoniformes; Salmonidae
Description: lncRNA (ENSSSAG00000089400.1, ENSSSAG00020074605.1)
Source: RNAcentral
CUUUAUUAUUGUCAGUCAUCGUUCAUCUUUCACCGUCCUCUUUCAUCUGUAUGGUCAAAAUGUCCCCCUGUUCUAAAAUUAUAGUAAGCGGUUGCGAGAGCAAAAUGGGUUUUGGAGAACAGACUGGAAAAUUGGUGUGAGUGGGAUGAAAAUACAUCCGUGUGUGGAAGCGGCAUAUUUGUGACAGUGCAGUCAUUUCUGAGUCUUGACAUGUAGUAAGUAUUUCUUCAGGCAAACAAAAGUCUCUGCUGUCAAAUUCAUUUAAUGCAGUUGCGCUCGCUCAAAGUCACACUUGCAAGUCCUCAAGUUUAAUUUGCGCACACCACGUUGGCCUGCGCUCUCGGAAAACGUCCUAUGCUCGCUCGACCACAUUUUCUCUCGGUAAAAGUGUUUGACUGCGCAAUGAUGUUUCAUCUUGCUUUCUCGCGCGAUGGCGCCCGUUCGACUUUUUUUAAUCGGAUUUGACGCCAUACAGUUGUAGUGGUUUCUCUGUGGUGUAUAUACAUUGGAGUUAUCCAACGUUUGCGUCAAAUUGUAUGCGUAGACUUUCCAGAAAUAGUGACAAAAGGUCCCCUUGGGGACUGGAGGGACCAGCGAGAGGAUGACCUGGUUUAAAUUUUCUCCUCUCUGCCUUGAUGGUAGCUACCCAUUUUAACAGAGUCCAUCUGAGCAGAUGAGAAUCAACUGUGCAGGUGCGGCUGUGGAAAUCCAACGAUUCUCUGUCCAGAGAUAACAAGUGAACUCCAAUCAAGUUUUAGAAACAUCUCAAGGAUGGUCAAUGGAAACAGGAUGCACCUGAGCAACAUUUUGAGUCUCUUAACGAAGGGUCUGAAUAAUUAUGUAAA